CCUACGGGUGGCUGCAGUGGGGAAUAUUGGACAAUGGGCGAAAGCCUGAUCCAGCCAUGCCGCGUGUGUGAAGAAGGCCUUCGGGUUGUAAAGCACUUUCAGUGGGGAAGAAAGCCUUGGGGCUAAUACCCUCGAGGAAGGACAUCACCCACAGAAGAAGCACCGGCUAACUCCGUGCCAGCAGCCGCGGUAAUACGGAGGGUGCGAGCGUUAAUCGGAAUUACUGGGCGUAAAGCGCGCGUAGGCGGUCUGAUAAGCCGGUUGUGAAAGCCCCGGGCUCAAACUGGGAACGGCAUCCGGAACUGUCAGGCUAGAGUGCAGGAGAGGAAGGUAGAAUUCCCGGUGUAGCGGUGAAAUGCGUAGAGAUCGGGAGGAAUACCAGUGGCGAAGGCGGACUUCUGGACUGACACUGACGCUGAGGUGCGAAAGCGUGGGUAGCAAACAGGAUUAGAUACCCCUGUAGUC
RNAcentral lists this ribosomal RNA (465 nucleotides) under Vreelandella stevensii. RNAcentral describes it as "partial 16S ribosomal RNA". It matches the Rfam family "Bacterial small subunit ribosomal RNA", at positions 338 to 795 of the family's 1533-position model. Lineage: Bacteria; Pseudomonadati; Pseudomonadota; Gammaproteobacteria; Oceanospirillales; Halomonadaceae. The record is from RNAcentral.